This is a long non-coding RNA of Ipomoea nil (Japanese morning glory), 98 nucleotides long. RefSeq lists it as uncharacterized. NCBI's taxonomy places the organism in Eukaryota, Viridiplantae, Streptophyta, Magnoliopsida, Solanales, Convolvulaceae. The record is from RefSeq and is a predicted model, not a curated record. The transcript has 3 exons.
UAGUCUUAGACAAAUGCUCAAAGAGGUUGAAUGGCUACACCAUUUUUUUGAGGAUAUUCCUAGUUGGUAAAAACAUGUACCUCCAAUUUGUGUGCAUU